RNAcentral lists this unclassified non-coding RNA (400 nucleotides) under uncultured Dehalococcoidia bacterium. RNAcentral's name for it is "contains 16S-23S intergenic spacer region". Lineage: Bacteria; Bacillati; Chloroflexota; Dehalococcoidia. The record is from RNAcentral.
GGACUACCGGGGUUUCUAAUCCGGUUUGCUACCCACGCUUUCGUCCCUCAGCGUCAGAACUGUCCCAGCAAGCCGCUUUCGCCACUGGUGUUCCUCCCGAUAUCUACGCAUUUCACCACUACACCGGGAAUUCCACUUGCCUCUAACAGUCUCAAGUCCGGCAGUAUCCCCCGACCUCUUCAAGUUGAGCCUGAAGAUUUCACAGGAGACUUACCGAACCGCCUACGGACCCUUUACGCCCAAUAAAUCCGGACAACGUUUGUGACCUACGUAUUACCGCGGCUGCUGGCACGUAGUUAGCCGUCACUUAUUCCUCAGGUACCGUCCUUGCUCUUCCCUGAGAAAAGAGGUUUACGACCCUAAAGCCUUCAUCCCUCACGCGGCGUCGCUCCAUCAGGCU